RNAcentral lists this ribosomal RNA (501 nucleotides) under uncultured bacterium. RNAcentral's name for it is "partial 16S ribosomal RNA". It matches the Rfam family "Bacterial small subunit ribosomal RNA", at positions 30 to 523 of the family's 1533-position model. The record is from RNAcentral.
AUUGAACGCUGGCGGCAGGCUUAACACAUGCAAGUCGAGCGGAGAUGAGGUGCUUGCACCUUAUCUUAGCGGCGGACGGGUGAGUAAUGCUUAGGAAUCUGCCUAUUAGUGGGGGACAACAUUCCGAAAGGAAUGCUAAUACCGCAUACGUCCUACGGGAGAAAGCAGGGGAUCUUCGGACCUUGCGCUAAUAGAUGAGCCUAAGUCGGAUUAGCUAGUUGGUGGGGUAAAGGCCUACCAAGGCGACGGUCUGUAGCGGGUCUGAGAGGAUGAUCCGCCGAACUGGGACUGAGACACGGCCCAGACUCCUACGGGAGGCAGCAGUGGGGAAUAUUGGACAAUGGGGGGAAACCUGAUCCAGCCAUGCCGCGUGUGUGAAGAAGGCCUUAUGGUUGUAAAGCACUUUAAGCGAGGAGGAGGCUACUGAGACUAAUACUCUUGGAUAGUGGACGUUACUCGCAGAAUAAGCACCGGCUAACUCUGUGCCAGCCGCCGCGGUAA